This 253-nucleotide ribosomal RNA is filed under the name uncultured bacterium. Its description in RNAcentral is "partial 16S ribosomal RNA". It matches the Rfam family "Bacterial small subunit ribosomal RNA", at positions 524 to 776 of the family's 1533-position model. The record is from RNAcentral.
UACAGAGGUCUCGAGCGUUGUUCGGAUUCAUUGGGCGUAAAGGGUGCGUAGGUGGCGCUGUAAGUCGGGUGUGAAAUCCUGAGGCUUAACCUCGGAACUGCAUUCGAUACUGCGGCGCUUGAGGACUGGAGAGGAGACUGGAAUUCAUGGUGUAGCAGUGAAAUGCGUAGAGAUCCGGAAGAACACCGGUGGCGAAGGCGGUCUGCUGGGCAGUAGCUGACACUGAGGCGCGACAGCGUGGGGAGCAAACAGG